Non-coding RNA from Aspergillus niger ATCC 1015, 70 nucleotides. Lineage: Eukaryota; Fungi; Ascomycota; Eurotiomycetes; Eurotiales; Aspergillaceae. The record is from Rfam.
UGAGUCCUCCGACGUGACACAACAUCCUGCAGCGGUGUUGUGCGACCUGCAGUGUCCGUCGCUGGACUCG